This 30-nucleotide non-coding RNA is filed under the name Callithrix jacchus (white-tufted-ear marmoset). The record is from RNAcentral. Lineage: Eukaryota; Metazoa; Chordata; Mammalia; Primates; Cebidae. RNAcentral also lists the same sequence under 3 other names.
GAUCAAGUGUAGUAUCUGUUCUUAUCAGUU